UGGGGAAUCUUGGACAAUGGGCGCAAGCCUGAUCCAGCCAUGCCGCGUGAAUGAUGAAGGCCUUAGGGUUGUAAAAUUCUUUCGUCGGGGACGAUAAUGACGGUACCCGAAGAAGAAGCUCCGGCUAACUUCGUGCCAGCAGCCGCGGUAAUACGAAGGGGGCUAGCGUUGUUCGGAAUUACUGGGCGUAAAGCGCGUGUAGGCGGGCCGUUAAGUCGGGGGUGAAAGCCCAGAGCUCAACUCUGGAAUUGCCUUCGAUACUGGCGGCCUGGAGCAUGAUAGAGGCAAGUGGAAUUGCGAGUGUAGAGGUGAAAUUCGCAGAUAUUCGCAGGAACACCGGUGGCGAAGGCGACUUGCUGGAUCAUUGCUGACGCUGAGACGCGAAAGCGUGGGGAGCAAACA
RNAcentral lists this ribosomal RNA (402 nucleotides) under alpha proteobacterium enrichment culture. Its description in RNAcentral is "bacterial SSU rRNA". It matches the Rfam family "Bacterial small subunit ribosomal RNA", at positions 355 to 774 of the family's 1533-position model. Lineage: Bacteria; Pseudomonadati; Pseudomonadota; Alphaproteobacteria. The record is from RNAcentral.